RNAcentral lists this long non-coding RNA (353 nucleotides) under Gallus gallus (chicken). RNAcentral describes it as "long non-coding RNA NONGGAT012387". The record is from RNAcentral. Lineage: Eukaryota; Metazoa; Chordata; Aves; Galliformes; Phasianidae.
UCUCCCUUUAUACAAAUUUCAUUUAUAUGGCAGACCUUUAAACUCUUCUUGAACUUGCUUGCUCUCUUCCUCUCUAAAUUUUUCCUCUUCCUCCAGUAACUCAAAUAUACUCAAAAUCUUCCUUGUACACAAUAAGAUCUCUUGGAGCAUACCACUCAUUCCUAAACCAAAAAUACAUAUCUUCCUUUUAUUCCUUCUGUUUCUCUUCCAAAGCGCAGGAGUUCUCCAUGAUUAGGAUUAGACAAUGUGAAUGUUUUUGCAACCUCACACAGUAAUGAGCACAGAACUGAAGUACUGAUAGACAAAUGCAAGCUUAGUGGAUGAGAAGAUAGGGAGGUAAAGGGACGUCCCUC